RNAcentral lists this ribosomal RNA (789 nucleotides) under Enterococcus faecalis. Its description in RNAcentral is "bacterial SSU rRNA". It matches the Rfam family "Bacterial small subunit ribosomal RNA", at positions 41 to 805 of the family's 1533-position model. Lineage: Bacteria; Bacillati; Bacillota; Bacilli; Lactobacillales; Enterococcaceae. The record is from RNAcentral.
GGGGGGCCUAUACAUGCAAGUCGAACGCUUCUUUCCUCCCGAGUGCUUGCACUCAAUUGGAAAGAGGAGUGGCGGACGGGUGAGUAACACGUGGGUAACCUACCCAUCAGAGGGGGAUAACACUUGGAAACAGGUGCUAAUACCGCAUAACAGUUUAUGCCGCAUGGCAUAAGAGUGAAAGGCGCUUUCGGGUGUCGCUGAUGGAUGGACCCGCGGUGCAUUAGCUAGUUGGUGAGGUAACGGCUCACCAAGGCCACGAUGCAUAGCCGACCUGAGAGGGUGAUCGGCCACACUGGGACUGAGACACGGCCCAGACUCCUACGGGAGGCAGCAGUAGGGAAUCUUCGGCAAUGGACGAAAGUCUGACCGAGCAACGCCGCGUGAGUGAAGAAGGUUUUCGGAUCGUAAAACUCUGUUGUUAGAGAAGAACAAGGACGUUAGUAACUGAACGUCCCCUGACGGUAUCUAACCAGAAAGCCACGGCUAACUACGUGCCAGCAGCCGCGGUAAUACGUAGGUGGCAAGCGUUGUCCGGAUUUAUUGGGCGUAAAGCGAGCGCAGGCGGUUUCUUAAGUCUGAUGUGAAAGCCCCCGGCUCAACCGGGGAGGGUCAUUGGAAACUGGGAGACUUGAGUGCAGAAGAGGAGAGUGGAAUUCCAUGUGUAGCGGUGAAAUGCGUACAUAUAUGGAGGAUCACCAGUGGCGAAGGCGGCUCUCUGGUCUGUAACUGACGCUGAGGCUCGAAAGCGUGGGGAGCCAACAGGAUUAAAUACCCUGGAUGCCCAAAAAA